UUCGGACCUAGAGACCGGCGCACGGGUGCGUAACGCGUAUGCAAUCUACCUUUUACAGAGGGAUAGCCCAGAGAAAUUUGGAUUAAUACCUCAUAGUAUUAUUGAAUGGCAUCAUUUAAUAAUUAAAGUCACAACGGUAAAAGAUGAGCAUGCGUCCCAUUAGCUUGUUGGUAAGGUAACGGCUUACCAAGGCAACGAUGGGUAGGGGUCCUGAGAGGGAGAUCCCCCACACUGGUACUGAGACACGGACCAGACUCCUACGGGAGGCAGCAGUGAGGAAUAUUGGUCAAUGGGCGCAAGCCUGAACCAGCCAUGCCGCGUGCAGGAUGAAGCAUCUAUGGUGUGUAAACUGCUUUUGUACGAGAAGAAACACUCCUACGUGUAGGAGCUUGACGGUAUCGUAAGAAUAAGGACCGGCUAACUCCGUGCCAGCAGCCGCGGUAAUACGGAGGGUCCAAGCGUUAUCCGGAAUCAUUGGGUUUAAAGGGUCCGUAGGCGGUUUAGUAAGUCAGUGGUGAAAGCCCAUCGCUCAACGGUGGAACGGCCAUUGAUACUGCUAAACUUGAAUUAUUGUGAAGUAACUAGAAUAUGUAGUGUAGCGGUGAAAUGCUUAGAGAUUACAUGGAAUACCAAUUGCGAAGGCAGGUUACUAACAAUAUAUUGACGCUGAUGGACGAAAGCGUGNGUAGCGAACAGGAUUAGAUACCCUGGUAGUCCACGCCGUAAACGAUGGAUACUAGCUGUUCGGAGCAAUCUGAGUGG
Molecule: ribosomal RNA, 762 nt
Filed under: uncultured bacterium
Lineage: Bacteria
Description: bacterial SSU rRNA
Rfam family: Bacterial small subunit ribosomal RNA
Source: RNAcentral